AACGAACGCUGGCGGCAUGCCUAACACAUGCGAGUCGAACGAGACCUUCGGGUCUAGUGGCGCACGGGUGCGUAACGCGUGGGAACCUGCCCUUAGGUUCGGAAUAACUCCCCGAAAGGGGUGCUAAUACCGGAUAAUGCCUUCGGACCAAAGAUUUAUCGCCUUUGGAUGGGCCCGCGUUGGAUUAGCUAGUUGGUAGGGUAAAAGCCUACCAAGGCGACGAUCCAUAGCUGGUCUGAGAGGAUGAUCAGCCACACUGGGACUGAGACACGGCCCAGACUCCUACGGGAGGCAGCAGUGGGGAAUAUUGGACAAUGGGCGAAAGCCUGAUCCAGCAAUGCCGCGUGAGUGAUGAAGGCCUUAGGGUUGUAAAGCUCUUUUACCCGGGAUGAUAAUGACAGUACCGGGAGAAUAAGCGCCGGCUAACUCCGUG
This 433-nucleotide ribosomal RNA is filed under the name uncultured bacterium. Its description in RNAcentral is "partial 16S ribosomal RNA". It matches the Rfam family "Bacterial small subunit ribosomal RNA", at positions 29 to 507 of the family's 1533-position model. The record is from RNAcentral.